RNAcentral lists this ribosomal RNA (497 nucleotides) under uncultured bacterium. RNAcentral's name for it is "partial 16S ribosomal RNA". It matches the Rfam family "Bacterial small subunit ribosomal RNA", at positions 28 to 507 of the family's 1533-position model. The record is from RNAcentral.
GACGAACGCUGGCGGCGUGCCUAAUACAUGCAAGUUGAGCGCUGAAGGUUGGUGCUUGUACCAACGGGAUGAGCAGCGAACGGGUGAGUAACGCGUGGGGAAUCUGCCUUUGAGCGGGGGACAACAUUUGGAAACGAAUGCUAAUACCGCAUAAAAACUUUAAACACAAGUUUUAAGUUUGAAAGAUGCAAUUGCAUCACUAAAAGAUGAUCCCGGGUUGUAUUAGCUAGAUGGUGAGGGAAAGGCUCACCAAGGCGAUGAUACAUAGCCGGCCUGAGAGGGGGGAUCGCCACCAUGGGAAUGGGACCCGGCCCAAACUCCUACGGGGAGCAGCAGUAGGGAAACUUCGGCAAAGGAAGAAAGUCUGACCGGACAACGCCGGGUGAGGGAAGAAGGGUGUCGGAUCGUAAAACUCUGUUUGUAGGGAAGAACGUUGGUGAGAGUGAAAAGCUCAUCAAGUGACGGUAACUACCCAGAAAGGGACGGCUAACUACGUG